GAGGCGAACCGGGGGAACUGAAACAUCUCAGUACCCCGAGGAAAAGAAAUCAACCGAGAUUCCCCCAGUAGCGGCGAGCGGACGGGGAGCAGCCCAGAGUCAGCAUCAAUAUUUACCGCAGGAGAAGGGUCUGGAAAGGCCGGCAAUAAAGGGUGAUAGCCCCGUAUCUGAAGCGGUAAGUGUUGUGAACUCGAAGAGUAGGGCGGGACACGUGUUAUCCUGUCUGAAUAUGGGGGGACCAUCCUCCAAGGCUAAAUACUCCUGACUGACCGAUAGUGAACCAGUACCGUGAGGGAAAGGCGAAAAGAACCCCGGCGAGGGGAGUGAAAUAGAACCUGAAACCGUGUACGUACAAGCAGUGGGAGCACCCGAAAGGGUGUGACUGCGUACCUUUUGUAUAAUGGGUCAGCGACUUAUAUUCUGUAGCAAGGUUAACCGCAUAGGGGAGCCGUAGGGAAACCGAGUCUUAACUGGGCGUUAAGUUGUAGGGUAUAGACCCGAAACCCGGUGAUCUAGCCAUGGGCAGGUUGAA
RNAcentral lists this ribosomal RNA (532 nucleotides) under Arsenophonus endosymbiont of Bemisia tabaci. RNAcentral describes it as "partial 23S ribosomal RNA". It matches the Rfam family "Bacterial large subunit ribosomal RNA", at positions 176 to 749 of the family's 2925-position model. The record is from RNAcentral. Lineage: Bacteria; Pseudomonadati; Pseudomonadota; Gammaproteobacteria; Enterobacterales; Morganellaceae.